This 510-nucleotide ribosomal RNA is filed under the name uncultured bacterium. RNAcentral's name for it is "partial 16S ribosomal RNA". The record is from RNAcentral.
GGAGUUAGCCGGUGCUUCUUCUGCGAGUAACGCACAGAUGUAAGGUAUUAACUUACACCCUUUCCUCCUCGCUGAAAGUGCUUUACAACCCGAAGGCCUUCUUCACACACGCGGCAUGGCUGCAUCAGGGUUUCCCCCAUUGUGCAAUAUUCCCCACUGCUGCCUCCCGUAGGAGUCUGGGCCGUGUCUCAGUCCCAGUGUGGCUGAUCAUCCUCUCAGACCAGCUAGGGAUCGUCGCCUAGGUGAGCCUUUACCUCACCUACUAGCUAAUCCCACCUGGGCUUAUCCAUCAGCGCAAGGCCCGAAGGUCCCCUGCUUUCCCCCGUAGGGCGUAUGCGGUAUUAGCAGUCGUUUCCAACUGUUAUCCCCACAAAUGGGCAAAUUCCCAGGCAUUACUCACCCGUCCGCCGCUCGUCAUCUUCAAAAGCAAGCUUUUGAAAUGUUACCGCUCGACUUGCAUGUGUUAGGCCUGCCGCCAGCGUUCAAUCUGAGCCANGAUACAACUACUGA